ACCUAUAGCACUUCAUCUGCCUAAUUCUCUGAAUCUUCAUCCGCAGAACUUCAAGGUAGAAUUUGCUUUAAAUUGUGAGUUUGUUCCUGUUGAAUUUCAUGAAAUCCGGCAAGUGAAAGCCAGUUUUAAGAAGCUGAUGAGGGCUUGUAUCCCAAGCACCAUCCCUACUGACUCAGAAGUGACCUUCCUGAAAGCACUGGGAGAUUCUGAGUGGUUCCCACAGCUUCACAGGAUAAUGCAGCUGGCUGUGGUUGUAUCAGAAGUACUUGAGAAUGGUUCCUCAGUUUUGGUCUGUUUGGAGGAAGGCUGGGACAUCACUGCACAAGUGACAUCCCUGGUUCAGUUACUCAGUGAUCCCUUUUAUAGGACACUUGAAGGCUUCCGGAUGUUGGUUGAAAAAGAGUGGCUCUCUUUUGGUCACAAAUUCAGUCAGAGGAGCAGCUUGACCCUCAACUGUCAGGGGAGUGGUUUUGCUCCAGUCUUCUUACAGUUCUUAGACUGUGUACACCAGGUUCACAACCAGUAUCCAACUGAGUUUGAAUUCAAUCUCUAUUA
Molecule: small RNA, 555 nt
Filed under: Pan troglodytes (chimpanzee)
Lineage: Eukaryota; Metazoa; Chordata; Mammalia; Primates; Hominidae
Description: retained intron
Source: RNAcentral